Molecule: non-coding RNA, 96 nt
Filed under: human gut metagenome
Description: THF riboswitch
Rfam family: THF (Tetrahydrofolate) riboswitch aptamer
About the family: THF riboswitch presents a pseudoknot that joins P1-P2 and the loop of P3 and two THF binding.
Source: RNAcentral
GCAGAGUAGAUAUUUGCGCGUCAAGUGCCUGCCGGACGGGGAGUUGCUGGGAGGACGAAAGGAUUGACCUGCGGUGCAAAUAUCGCAUCCCGCUGC